RNAcentral lists this microRNA (21 nucleotides) under Helianthus annuus (common sunflower). Lineage: Eukaryota; Viridiplantae; Streptophyta; Magnoliopsida; Asterales; Asteraceae. The record is from RNAcentral.
UUAGAGACGGAUCUGAAUUGG